Molecule: ribosomal RNA, 253 nt
Filed under: uncultured bacterium
Lineage: Bacteria
Description: partial 16S ribosomal RNA
Rfam family: Bacterial small subunit ribosomal RNA
Source: RNAcentral
UACGUAGGGUGCGAGCGUUAAUCGGAAUUACUGGGCGUAAAGCGUGCGCAGGCGGUUUUGUAAGCCAGAUGUGAAAGCCCCGGGCUCAACCUGGGAAUGGCAAUGGAAACUGGCGGGCUGGAGUAUGGCAGAGGGGGGUGGAAUUCCGCGUGUAGCAGUGAAAUGCGUAGAGAUGCGGAGGAACACCGAUGGCGAAGGCAGCCCCCUGGGCUGACACUGACGCUCAGGCACGAAAGCGUGGGGAGCAAACAGG